RNAcentral lists this ribosomal RNA (250 nucleotides) under uncultured bacterium. Its description in RNAcentral is "partial 16S ribosomal RNA". It matches the Rfam family "Bacterial small subunit ribosomal RNA", at positions 524 to 773 of the family's 1533-position model. The record is from RNAcentral.
UACGGAGGGUGCAAGCGUUGUUCGGAAUUACUGGGCGUAAAGCGCGCGCAGGCGGGCGUGUAAGUCGGGGGUGAAAUUUCAGGGCUCAACCCUGGAACUGCUUUCGAUACUGCACGUCUAGGGACCGGUAGAGGUCGGUGGAAUUCCCGGUGUAGCGGUGGAAUGCGUAGAGAUCGGGAAGAACACCCGUGGCGAAGGCGGCCGACUGGGCCGGAUCCGACGCUGAGGCGCGAAAGCGUGGGGAGCAAAC